GCGAAUUCGCCCUUCCGGUUGAUCCUGCCAGAGGUUACUGCUAUCGAGGUUCGACUAAGCCAUGCGAGUCGAAUGUAGCAAUACAUGGCGUACUGCUCAGUAACACGUGGACAACCUACCCUCCGGACGGGUAUAAACCCGGGAAACUGGGUAUAAUCCCCGAUAGAUCUCGGUCGCUGGAAUGCCCCGAGAUCGAAAGCUCCGGCGCCAGAGGAUGGGUCUGCGGCCUAUCAGGUAGUAGUGGGUGUAGCGUACCUACUAGCCUACGACGGGUACGGGUUGUGAGAGCAAGAGCCCGGAGAUGGAUUCUGAGACACGAAUCCAGGCCCUACGGGGUGCAGCAGGCGCGAAAACUUUACAAUGCCGGCAACGGCGAUAAGGGGACCUCGAGUGCCAGGUUACAAAUCUGGCUGUCGUGAUGCCUAAAAAGCAUUGCAUAGCAAGGGCCGGGCAAGACCGGUGCCAGCCGCCGCGGUAACACCGGCGGCUCGAGUGGUAACCGUUAUUAUUGGGUCUAAAGGGUCUGUAGCCGGCCGGAUAAGUCUCUUGAGAAAUCCAGCAGCUCAACUGUUGGGCUUUCAGGAGAUACUGUUCGGCUCGAGGCCGGGAGAGGUGAGAGGUACUUCAGGGGUAGGGGUGAAAUCUUGUAAUCCUUGAAGGACCACCAGUGGCGAAGGCGUCUCACCAGAACGGACCUGACGGCAAGGGACGAAAGCUAGGGGCACGAACCGGAUUAGAUACCCGGGUAGUCC
Molecule: ribosomal RNA, 752 nt
Filed under: uncultured archaeon
Lineage: Archaea
Description: bacterial SSU rRNA
Rfam family: Archaeal small subunit ribosomal RNA
Source: RNAcentral